GAAGUAAAAGUCGUAACAAGGUUCCCCAGCGUAGGCCACGGCGUCCUUGUCGUAGGACGCCGGCGCUCUCACACCUAUGGAAGCCUUGCACUCCAGUCUAUCCCGCAUAGGCAACAUCGACAUGGUGCUGGGAUUUCGCCCUCGCAGGUGAAUACCAGCAGCCGCUCGCGCGGCUCACAGAUCAAACGUUGGUGGCUCGGUGAGGUUGUGACCUCCUAUCGAGUUCAGAUAUGACCGGCCCCGUUGCGAAAGUGCCGGGAACCGUCGCGUUCCGUAGGUGAACCUGCGGAAGGAUCAUUACCGAGAUAGGGUCCGUCGGGCCCGAACCUCCAACCCUUUGCGUACCUUACCUUUGUUGCUUUGGCGGACCCGCUGGGGAAACCCACCGCCGGCGUUGAGCCGGUGAGCGCCCGCCGGAGGCCCUCAAAACUCCGUCUGUCAGUGUCGUCUGAGUACCAUACAAUCGUUAAAAACUUUCAACAACGGAUCUCUUGGUUCUGGCAUCGAUGAAGAACGCAGCGAAAUGCGAUAAGUAAUGUGAAUUGCAGAAUUCAGUGAAUCAUCGAAUCUUUGAACGCACAUUGCGCCCCCUGGCAUUCCGGGGGGCAUGCCUGUUCGAGCGUCAUUACACCUCUCAAGCCCUGCUUGGUAUUGGGCCGUCGUCCCCCGGGACGGGCCUGAAAGUGAGUGGCGGUGCAGCCUGACUUCAAGCGUAGUAACUUCAAAACCCGCUUCGGAAGCCUUCAGGCUGGGCCGGCCAGACAACCCAACUGUAUUU
RNAcentral lists this ribosomal RNA (778 nucleotides) under Umbilicaria aprina. RNAcentral describes it as "eukaryotic LSU rRNA". The stretch from base 472 to 625 matches the Rfam family "5.8S ribosomal RNA". The record is from RNAcentral. Lineage: Eukaryota; Fungi; Ascomycota; Lecanoromycetes; Umbilicariales; Umbilicariaceae.